This 261-nucleotide unclassified non-coding RNA is filed under the name Hevea brasiliensis (rubber tree). The record is from RNAcentral. Lineage: Eukaryota; Viridiplantae; Streptophyta; Magnoliopsida; Malpighiales; Euphorbiaceae.
AAAAUUUUUUGACAUGAUCCAUCACCGUGUCUUUGUAAAGUUAUUUGUUGCAGUUGUUUAUUUGAUAUGGCUUACUUCUGCAAUUCAUAUUGAUCAUUCUAUGCUCAAAUAGAACAAUAACGAAGCCGUAGUUUUACGUUUCUGGUACUAAAUAUACCAAAUUAAUAGCUUUAACAAGUGCAUCAGCCAUGAGAUCAUGGGAUGAAAUUAGAACAUUAUAGAUCAACCAAAAAUUACACAACCCCUUCAAUGUCUAAAAUA